GACGAACGCUGGCGGCGUGCCUAAUACAUGCAAGUAGAACGCACAGUUUAUACCGUAGCUUGCUACACCAUAGACUGUGAGUUGCGAACGGGUGAGUAACGCGUAGGUAACCUGCCUGGUAGCGGGGGAUAACUAUUGGAAACGAUAGCUAAUACCGCAUAAUAUUGAUUAUUGCAUGAUAAUUAAUUGAAAGGUGCAAUUGCACCACUACCAGAGGGACCUGCGUUGUAUUAGCUAGUAGGUGAGGUAACGGCUCACCUAGGCGACGGUACAUAGCCGACCUGAGAGGGGGAUCGGCCACACUGGGACUGAGACACGGCCCAGACUCCUACGGGAGGCAGCAGUAGGGAAUCUUCGGCAAUGGACGAAAGUCUGACCGAGCAACGCCGCGUGAGUGAAGAAGGUUUUCGGAUCGUAAAGCUCUGUUGUAAGAGAAGAACGGGUGUGAGAGUGGAAAGUUCACACUGUGACGGUAUCUUACCAGAAAGGGACGGCUAACUACGUG
This 505-nucleotide ribosomal RNA is filed under the name uncultured bacterium. RNAcentral describes it as "partial 16S ribosomal RNA". It matches the Rfam family "Bacterial small subunit ribosomal RNA", at positions 28 to 507 of the family's 1533-position model. The record is from RNAcentral.